This is a long non-coding RNA of Carassius auratus (goldfish), 1855 nucleotides long. RefSeq lists it as uncharacterized. The transcript is spliced from 3 exons. The record is from RefSeq and is a predicted model, not a curated record. NCBI's taxonomy places the organism in Eukaryota, Metazoa, Chordata, Actinopteri, Cypriniformes, Cyprinidae.
UCCAAACACAUCUUGGGGCCAACUGUACAUGUAGAUACAAAAGGUUAGAGGUAUCAGUUUGGAAAGGUGAUUUUCUCAGUGCCACAUUUAAUGCAUAUUAAUCUGUUUUUCCAUCCAAGGAUCCAUGACAAUCGAAUCGAUGAGCUCUGCGCCUCUUCGUUCUCACUUCGCUGAGACGUUUCACCAAAAAUCUCAGCGCCGCUGUUACAUCCUCCUACUCUAGAAGAGAGAAGUGAGAGAUUACUGCGUGUGGCUCAUUAGGAAGGUUUUAUUUUGUCUGCAAAAUUUCCCCCCCGUCUAUUGUCUCUCCACCCUCUCAGCAAAAGUCUCGGCAGAAUCACAUCCCUGGGUGCAUCGCAGCGUUGAGAUAAAUGCAGAAAAUGAACUGGAAGAAAACAGGGAGGCGAGAAAAACGCGUGCCUGGCCGACGAUGGCCGAAAACUCAAAGGAGAGAUGGUUACACUGCAUCGCCAGCUUGCCUCAUCUGAAUCCCUGACUCCUGACCUCCCCUGAGGAAGGUGCUCACUGUCAGAAGAACCCCCGGCAUCCUACCGCCACAGAAAGGUGAUUCCUUUAAAGCGGAAGAAACGGAUGAAGGAGCAAGAGGGGGCUGCGCAAGGUGGGCAGACGGGGAGGGGAGCUGUCGCUUGUGUCAGGUUAACCUCAGAGACACAUCCGGAGCUCAGCAUCUGGGAGACGGAGGGGAGAAAGGCACCGUCGCUCCAUUUGGUGCAAGUGAGUUUUGCAUUAAGCAUCCUGCAAUGGCUUUCAUCAGCUUCUUUCGUUCUCUCUCUCUUUCUUCCUUUCUCACCUCCACUCGCUCCCCCGAGAAGGCUAAAACACUAAACUUUGUGCACUGUCAGUCCCAUGGGCUGUGUUUAUUCCCAGAUUUAUUCAUGUAGCAUUGCAGCGUUAAGUGUUAAAGAGAGAGAGGAAGAAAGAUAGAGGUCUGCAUGCAGAAAGGAAGGAGAUGAUACUGAUGUUUGUGCAGCACAUGUGUUAAGUCACUCACACACCACAAUAACACCUGAAAUUGCAGCAGCUGGUGCUGUUAAACAUGCAUUCUCUUGUUCCAGUUUCCCCACGGCAGCAACAGAUAGCAACAAAAGUUCCGUUGAGGUCUUUAAGAAAACACCCCUGGUGUGUGAGUUUGUAAAAGGCAAGAUUCCCAAUAUUCAGCAAAAGACGAGAUGUGUGCAUGUGUCUAUGACAAAGAGGCAGAUGAAGAGAGGAAGUUAAGAGAAAAAGAUGACAGCACUCAAAGGCUAAAGGCAGUGCUUUCUCUCAUCUCCUGACCAACGGCUGACUCUGAGACUGAGAGCCGAGAGCGGAUGGAGUGACCCAGCUCCCCAUGACCCUGCUGAACUGAGUGUGAGGCUCCCCAGCUAAACCCACCAGAGCUCCAGCUCCUGUAAUUGGGUUAAAGCUCUGCAUUGCCUUAUUGAUGUGCAAAUGCUAACUGUCGAGGCGUGUCACUUUCAGACAUAUUACAGAACACCUCGAGGAUGACUGCAGGAGAUCAAGGACACCAAUGCAUCAUUUCAUAUCAAACCCCAAACAUGCGAGGGGUGCCGUUCGUUAAAAUUUAGGCUAUCAAGAAAUAUCGAAUUCAAAAGAAAUGUCUAAUUUGAAGCAGUCCUUGACAGUACACGAUCAUAUCUUAUCGUAUUUAACAACCAGUUUUGACAUGAGUUAUGCCACCCUAAAAAAGAAUGUUCUCACAAAUGAUGAUAAUAAUUAAAAUGAUGGGAAGUAUGAAAAUGUCAGUUAACCAGGAGGAUGUACAGUCAGUCAGAAAUUCAAAAUAUUAAAGUUGUGCCUGGAUGGGUCAGACUGGUGUAAAUCGAUGGACUGA